UAGCUUGCUAAGGCUGAUGGCGACCGGCGCACGGGUGAGUAACACGUAUCCAACCUGCCGUCUACUCUUGGCCAGCCUUCUGAAAGGAAGAUUAAUCCAGGAUGGCAUCAUGAGUUCACAUGUCCGCAUGAUUACAAGGUAUUUUCCGGUAGACGAUGGGGAUGCGUUCCAUUAGAUAGUAGGCGGGGUAACGGCCUACCUAGUCAACGAUGGAUAGGGGUUCUGAGAGGAAGGUCCCCCACAUUGGAACUGAGACACGGUCCAAACUCCUACGGGAGGCAGCAGUGAGGAAUAUUGGUCAAUGGGCGAUGGCCUGAACCAGCCAAGUAGCGUGAAGGAUGACUGCCCUAUGGGUUGUAAACUUCUUUUAUAAAGGAAUAAAGUCGGGUAUGCAUACCCGUUUGCAUGUACUUUAUGAAUAAGGAUCGGCUAACUCCGUGCCAGCAGCCGCGGUAAUACGGAGGAUCCGAGCGUUAUCCGGAUUUAUUGGGUUUAAAGGGAGCGUAGAUGGAUGUUUAAGUCAUUUGUGAAAGUUUGCGGCUCAACCGUAAAAUUGCAGUUGAUACUGGAUGUCUUGAGUGCAGUUGAGGCAGG
RNAcentral lists this ribosomal RNA (594 nucleotides) under uncultured Bacteroidales bacterium. RNAcentral's name for it is "bacterial SSU rRNA". It matches the Rfam family "Bacterial small subunit ribosomal RNA", at positions 73 to 661 of the family's 1533-position model. The record is from RNAcentral. Lineage: Bacteria; Pseudomonadati; Bacteroidota; Bacteroidia; Bacteroidales.